UACGAGGGGGGCAAGCGUUGUUCGGAAUUAUUGGGCGUAAAGGGUGCGUAGGCGGUUUGGUAAGUCUUAUGUGAAAUCUACAGGCUCAACUUGUAGUCUGCAUGAGAAACUGCCGGGCUUGAGUAUGGGAGAGGUGAGUGGAAUUCCUGGUGUAGCGGUGAAAUGCGUAGAUAUCGGGAAGAACACCUAUGGCGAAGGCAGCUCUCUGGGACGGUACUGACGCUGAGACGCGAAAGCGUGGGGAGCGAACAGG
This 253-nucleotide ribosomal RNA is filed under the name uncultured bacterium. RNAcentral describes it as "partial 16S ribosomal RNA". It matches the Rfam family "Bacterial small subunit ribosomal RNA", at positions 524 to 776 of the family's 1533-position model. The record is from RNAcentral.